This 81-nucleotide transfer RNA is filed under the name Paragonimus heterotremus. It matches the Rfam family "tRNA". From Rfam's summary of the family: Transfer RNA (tRNA) molecules are approximately 80 nucleotides in length. Their secondary structure includes four short double-helical elements and three loops (D, anti-codon, and T loops). The record is from Rfam by way of RNAcentral. Lineage: Eukaryota; Metazoa; Platyhelminthes; Trematoda; Plagiorchiida; Troglotrematidae.
GGCUUCGUAGCUCAGCUGGUAGAGCGCUUGCCGCGCAGAGGCAUAGUGUUUCUGUCGCUAGUUCGAAUCCAGCCGAAGCCC